UUUUUUGUUUUUGUUUUUUUUUUGGAUGAAGCUUUCUCUACCAGCUUCUGAAGUUACUAAACUUGCAGCUUCUACAGGAUAAUCCAUUGAGGUCUCUAGCUUUUAGCUAUUGUUACAUUUCCUUUAAACUCCACAAGGCUGUUUUGUUUUGUUCUGUCAAAUAGGGUUGAGAAGGGAGCACUGACUUCUAGCUAUUUACAUAGGUACAAUUUCACAUGUACCCUGGAAUGACUGUUUCAGAUUUUCCUACUCUAAGCUUCUCACUUGGCCAUUGUAAGCUAUUUCUUUCUGUUACUGAUCCCAAUGAGCUCAUCACUUGUCACUCUGUCAAACACAGUCCUUUCUAGUGGUGACUCUCAAACUGAUAUCCUCCUCACAAAUUCAGAAAGACAAAACUGUGAUCACUAUACCUCCAAAAUGUCAGGAUUGCCAGGGCUAGAAUGUAGGCCUGCCCCCUUGAGUUUGGAGGCUCAUCCUAGAAGCUGCUGUUCUGAAUCCCAGCUUCUCAGAAAGGAGUGGUUUUAUAAUGCCAUUGUUGCACAAAGAAGAGAUUGGAUGUUCCCUUUUACUCCUGUCUGUCUCCACAUGGAGCUUAGCAGCAAAACUAUGCCAAGCCUCCUCACUCUCCCUAGUCUGAAAAUACCUGUUAUUUCUUAUCCUACAGUUAAUAUGGAAAUAUCUUUCCUCAAUUUCUAGGACUCAUGGUAUGAUCUCAUAAGAUUACUAUAGUGUGGUCUUAUGGUAUUAGUAGUACUUUGGUGUAUUUCCCCAAAACUGGGUCAUUCCAUAUUGGCUAUUGUCAGAUUGUCAUCCUAUAAAGGGUCAUGAGUUUUAACAGAACAGAACCCAUUAUAUGUAAAUAUGUUCAUAUGUAAAUCUAAGUUAAUACUUUCUAUAGUCAGUAUAUCAUAAUAUCCAAAUACCAUGUGAUUUUAAAGAUGAUUAUACCAACUAUGAUUUAUAACUUUGAUUUCACUCAUAAUUUUUAAAUGUGUACAUUGACAUAGUAAAUAAAUUCUAAUACAAGAACAAACAGCAUCAAUUUCCUUCAUAAUCUUGACCACCGUGACCUGCCUCCAUCAGAAGGUAUCAUUCUACAUGUCCAUACAAUUUGAUUAAUGAGCUUCUAUUAAAAUCCUGUAAAUUUAUGAUGAGAUUUCUGGAUUUUAUGCAGUCAGGCCUAACUUUAAUAUCUUGGAAUGAGAUAUUUCCUUAGCAGGAGUGACUAACAUAAUUAUUGGCAACCAGCCUAUAAAAUCAUGCAAAUAUUAUUUAUGAACUGGCCAGUUGUGUUAGCACCAUCAUUUAGGUAUCCUUUGUGUUUUAUAGCAAUCUUCCAUGUCAGGCUUUGGCAUACAUUUCCCAGAAAAUUAAAAUCUUUAACUUACCCUUAGGACUUAAUAAUCAAAUAAACAAUAAUUAUAAAAUACAUUUGAUUCAUAGAGUUCAUUCAAAAGAAGAAUGCUACUGAACUUUAUCUGGAAUCACUCUAUCGUCUCAAAUUAUGUAACAUAAAACAAUAACUUGGAAUGUAAUUUUUAUCAACAUUUUGUUAUUGCCUGAUUAAGUACCAAACAAGCCACUAGAUUUAAAGAGAUGCCAGAUGAUUAUUAAAAGCUAUUCCCCAUCACCUAAUGAAUUGACGACAAAGUUUAUCUGCCCUCAAAAUGUACCUGGGCAUGGAAUUGGAAUCUCCCUAAAGCCAAAUCAAUAGUGGAGCUAUCACUUUGUUACUACUAUCAUCUAGGACAAAUAACCCUCAGUCUUUCUCACACUGGGCCCUCUGGCAGGAUAAGCAGGGAAACAAAGUAGCUCAAGGACUCUGUGAUGAUUUUGCCAAACUUUUCUCAGAAUUGCACCCAGUCUAAGAAGCUUCCAUGCAACCUUACUUUUUUCCACCGGAGUUUAGACAUACAUUGCAGCCUGACAGCCUCAUCUGACUUCCUUUCCAUUUCAUAGACAUUUUUUCCUCAUCUAGUCAGAUUACCAUGAUAUCAUGGAUAUAAUGGACCCAUGUCACAUUGCAGGACAUCCUCAUGGUUCGGGUCUCUGAACAAGAUUGCCACUGUCUGGCUGCCAUUCUGAUCUUCCACUGAUUAUAAUGAUUGUGUCCACCUGGCUUCUGACUGGUUAUGCAUUGUCACCUGCCUCUACUGGCUCAGAAUCUGAAAUUCCCUUUGCUCUCAGAGGCUCCAGUUCUGCAAUGGCAGCUCCUACUGUCAGCUCUGGCCUGGAGAAGAUAGACACCACUUAAACUGCUUUGUGAUGCUGAUGCCCCUCUCAUCAGCACAUUACUCACUGCUUUGGUAGACAAUGUCUCCUACGUGCCUUCCUGCAGAGCAGUUUAGGCCAGCUGGAGCCUUUCAAAAGAUUGACAUCCUUUUUGUUCCAUUCCAUCAUUUAGUUAGAAAGUACCCUGAUACUGCCUAUGACCUAAAGAAAGACACAAGUGCCACAGCGAUAAAUGACCUCAAGGUCCAGACUACCUGCUUUGCUGCUUUGUCCUCCAGCCUUGCUCAUGCUUGACCCUGGAUGUACUAUAUUCCAUACACCAAAGGAUUAUUGCUGGGACCACCCAAUCUAAUGAUUUGUGGGUUCUGAUUUAACCCACAUCAUGAAGGAUUAUGUUGGCCAUGUAGUCACUUGGUGUACUAUGUUCAGAUGCUUUUUCUGCAGCAAGACCCAAAAGCAAGUCAGAAGCUGCUUUUCAAACAAUGUUUUGUCCUUUCCCCUAUAAUCCCUUUCACUAUUUUUAUAUUCUCCGUAUGAGUGAAACCAUAUAAUGAUCGUCCUUCUCCGAUUGACUAAUCCCCUCCAGUUCCAUCCAUGUUGAAGCAAAUGGUGAGUAUUCAUCGUUUCUAAUGGCUGAGAAAAUGAGUGGGAAAAAUCAGAGACGGUGACAGAACAUGAGAGACUCCUAACUCUGGGAAAUAAACAAGGGGUAGUGGAAGGGGAAGUGGGUGAGAGGAUGGGGUGACUGGGUGACAGGCACUGAGGGGGGCAUUUGACAGGAUGAGCACUUGGGGUUAUACUAUAUGUUGGCAAAUUGAGUUCCAAUAAAAAAAUGUACAAAAAAAAAAAAAAACCCAAACAAUGUUUUGAAAUUCUCUGCUACAAAAGAUCUUGCUUCAGAACCCUAGCAGCCUGCACUGUGAUUCUCCCAUUGAGGCUUGCAUAAAUUCCACAUGUCACCUUUCUCACCCAAAACACCUCCACAGUUCCUUUACGGUAGAGUCCCUUUCCUCCAUAAUCAGCCUAGCACAUCCCCAGCUGGGUUACGUUGUGACUGAAAUCUAGUUAUUGACUAAGUGUAGAUAUGGCGGCAGGGGUGGAGGGUUCUACAUUGUCAUGAACAAGGAGACCACUAAUCUCCAUCUUCACAUGGCCUUUUCCUCUGUGCAUCUGCAUCAUCUUCUUAUAAAGACAUCACUUAUUGAAUUUAGGACUCACCCCAAUAUAAUCUCAUCUUAAUCCUUAAAUAAUUACAUCUGCAAAAGUGCUUUUUCCAAAUAAGGUCACAUCGUGAGGUUCUAGAUAGGCAUGAAUUUUAAAUGACAUUAUUGAAUUCACUUCAGGGUCCUUAUUGCCAGCUAACUGGUGACAAUCCAGUUGCAGAGUCCCAUCUUAGUACCAGGAAUGACCCAGGAAAGUCAAUGCUAACAGUUCCAAGUUGGGUUCCAGGAAGCCACCUCUGAGGCAAUAAUAGCAUGUUAGGAGUUUAUUAAAUUUUUUUGAGUAAACUCUAUGCCCAACAUGGGAUUUGAACUCACAACUCUGAGAUCAAGUGCCUCUAUUAAAUGUUUCUCUUAAAUUGAACACGUAUGCAAGGGUUGGAUAGAAAGCAGGAUUCAACAGAAGGGGGAGUUGACUAUACCAUACAGUUUAAACAGACCUUGCCAGAUCCCAUAGGAAUCUCUGAAGCUGAGAUGAUCCCUUAGUAUUCUGCAUUGGGUUAAGAAAGCAGAAGCUUCUAUGAACAUUAGUUUCACUCAUAUGUGGAAUAUAAGAAAUAGUGCAGGACCAUAAGGGAAGGAGGGGAAGCUGAAUGGGGAAAAAUCAAAGACAAAUCAUGAGAGACUUAACUCUGGGAAGCAAAUUGAGGGUUGCUGAAGGGGAUAUGGGUGGAGGGACAGGAUAACUGGGUAAUGGGAAGUAAAGAAGGCACGUGAUGUGAUGAGCACUGGGUGUUAUACACAACUGAUGAAUUAUUGAACACUAGAUCUAAAACUAAUGAUGUACAGUAUGUUGACAAAUUAAAUUAAAUUAAAUUUUAAAAAAUGAAAAAAAAUCAGAGGCUUCAAUGAGGAUAAUGAAUCCUCAGUCAACCAUUAAAUGUGGACUAUCUUAGGAAGGAGCUGUGCCCUCAGGCAAGGUGCCUCUCUUUUAGGCAAGAUGUGAAGAUUUAUAGCUAAGCACUCAGCAGUAAAGAAAAAAUACUUCACUCCUAAAGAAAUGUCUGUGUGAUACAGACAUCAUCCACUAUGCCUAUCAUUGAUCAAAACUGAAAAUUAGCUUAUUUUUAUAAGACUGAAAUAGUUCAGACAGACCACUGUUUUCAUUCCCAGAAAAAUAAUUCAGAGGGGGAAAAGGGCUUAAGAAACCCCGAAAAAAUAGUUUAGUUGGUUGAGAUGACUAAAGGGAAGUUAGGAGACGUAUAAUUUGGAAGGUACAGGGAACACUCAUCCCAUAAGUGGAAGUUCCUCCACCCGAAAACUGGAGAGAUGGAGAUUCCAUGCUGGUGACUGAUGAGUUUGGGGAAAGGAUGUGGGAGAUGCUUCAUCUCCUCUCUCUCUGAUCCGCCCAUCUAUAAGGAAAGCGCAUGUUCUUAUCUGUUCUGCUCUGUCAUGGCAUAAACUUUUCAGAGGCUGGACCUUGCUGGGGAGACCUGCCAGUGUCCAGCUCUACCUUUGAUGAGUACACUUAAUUUUGAGUGCAUAAGUCUUUUUAACCAAAACUCUGAAUCACAUUUCUCCCAACAGCUUAAUCAGCCUCACAUUACCAACUUCUACCUCUAUGUCCCAAUCUGUUCUGGACUCUAAUGAAGAUGAACAGUUAUAAUCAGAAAGCUGUGAACUACCAUUUACAUUGACAUGGAUACAACUGGAGGGUAUCAUGCUGAAUGAAAUAAGUCA
This 5132-nucleotide long non-coding RNA is filed under the name Canis lupus familiaris (dog). RNAcentral describes it as "lncRNA (ENSCAFG00000051265.1)". Lineage: Eukaryota; Metazoa; Chordata; Mammalia; Carnivora; Canidae. The record is from RNAcentral.